CUUGGGGCGCUGGCGCCUCCUCUUACAGCUUUACUCCUGCCAGCUUGGGAAAAGGCCGGAGAAGGUGAAAUUCUGUGUGCUCCCUCUGGCGAGAGACUUUGUCAGCUCCCGCACAGUAACAGAGAGUGUUUUGCUCUGUUGGCUAGGCUGGAGUGCAGUGGUUGGGUCAUGGCUCACUGCAGCUGUUACCGGAUAGAGGUCCCGAUCCAUAUCCUAAGAGAAGGUUCUUGGAUAUCAUGCAAGAAAGAAUUUCAGAUCCUGAAUAAAGUCAAAACUCAACCAACAGGUGGAAGUCCAAGAAUCCGAGUGGAGGCUCACCAAGGCGAAGGGGCCAAGCAUGGGAAAGGAGAGUGGAUGGGACUCAGGCAGGGCUGCUGUAGCAGCUGUGGUCGGAGGAGUUGUGGCUGUGGGGACUGUGCCCGUGGCGCUCAGUGCCAUGGGCUUCACCUCAGUAGGAAUCGCCGCAUCCUCCAUAGCAGCGAAGAUGAUGUCUACAGCAGCCAUUGCCAACGGGGGCGGAGUUGCCGCGGGCAGUCUGGUGGCUAUUCUGCAGUCAGUGGGUGAGUGUUCUGGACAGGAUGACCAGAGCCAGGAGAUGAUCCAGCCCCAAGGCUGAACCAGGGAGGCCUCUCCUCUCCCUGCAGGGGCAGCUGAACUCUCCGUGACAUCUAAAGUUAUCCUGGGCUUUGCUGGGACAGCUCUUGGGGCCUGGCUGGGUUCACCCCCUUCCAGCUGAACACCACACUGAGGCAGGGAGUUGGCUCUCUUGGUGGAGAUGACUUUCCUGGGCCUCUGGAUGACAAUCUUCCAAAGGACAAGUCUCCUACUCCCAAAACUAUUUAAGGAAGCAUGAAAAAUAAAGAUGCUGGUGAUCUUC
Molecule: RNA transcript, 877 nt
Organism: Gorilla gorilla gorilla (western lowland gorilla)
Lineage: Eukaryota; Metazoa; Chordata; Mammalia; Primates; Hominidae
Gene: IFI27L1
Gene name: interferon alpha inducible protein 27 like 1
Exons: 6
Source: RefSeq, a predicted model, not a curated record